RNAcentral lists this transfer RNA (73 nucleotides) under bovine gut metagenome. It matches the Rfam family "tRNA". Rfam says of the family: Transfer RNA (tRNA) molecules are approximately 80 nucleotides in length. Their secondary structure includes four short double-helical elements and three loops (D, anti-codon, and T loops). Further hydrogen bonds mediate the characteristic L-shaped molecular structure. tRNAs have two regions of fundamental functional importance: the anti-codon, which is responsible for specific mRNA codon recognition, and the 3' end, to which the tRNAs corresponding amino acid is attached (by aminoacyl-tRNA synthetases). tRNAs cope with the degeneracy of the genetic code in two manners: having more than one tRNA (with a specific anti-codon) for a particular amino acid; and 'wobble' base-pairing, i.e. permitting non-standard base-pairing at the 3rd anti-codon position. The record is from RNAcentral.
GGAGUAUAGCUCAGCUGGUUCAGAGCGCCUGCCUUACAAGCAGGAGGUCACUGGUUCGAUUCCUGUUACUCCC